Molecule: ribosomal RNA, 253 nt
Filed under: uncultured bacterium
Lineage: Bacteria
Description: partial 16S ribosomal RNA
Rfam family: Bacterial small subunit ribosomal RNA
Source: RNAcentral
UACGUAGGGUGCAAGCGUUGUCCGGAAUUAUUGGGCGUAAAGAGCUCGUAGGCGGUCUGUCGCGUCGGAUGUGAAAAUCCAGGGCUCAACCCUGGACCUGCAUUCGAUACGGGCAGACUAGAGUUCGGUAGGGGAGACUGGAAUUCCUGGUGUAGCGGUGAAAUGCGCAGAUAUCAGGAGGAACACCGGUGGCGAAGGCGGCAUCCUGGACCAAUACUGACGCUGAGGAGCGAAAGCCAGGGGAGCAAACGGG